GAUGAACGCUGGCGGCGUGCCUAAUACAUGCAAGUCGAGCGAACAGACGAGGAGCUUGCUCCUCUGACGUUAGCGGCGCACGGGUGAGUAACACGUGGAUAACCUACCUAUAAUACUGGGAUAACUUCGGGAAACCGGAGCUAACACCGGAUAAUAUAUUGCACCGCAUGGUGCAAUAGUGAAAGUCGGUUUUUCUGUCACUUAUAGAGGGAUACGGGCCGGAUUAGCUAGUUGUGAAGGUAACGGCUUACGAAGGCGACCAUGCGUAUCCGACGGCGGAGAGUGAUAGGCCGCACGGGAAGGGAGCCACGCACAAGGGGACUAAGAUAGGCAGCAGUAGGGAACCUUACGCAGUGGGCGAAAGCAUGAUGGAGUAAGCCCGCGUGAGAGGCGAAGGCCUUCCGUGCGUGAUACUCUGUUAUUGGGGAAAAACAAAUGUGGAAGUAACUGAGGACGUCUUGACGGUACCUAGUCAGAAAGCAACGGCUAACUACGUG
This 497-nucleotide ribosomal RNA is filed under the name uncultured bacterium. RNAcentral describes it as "partial 16S ribosomal RNA". It matches the Rfam family "Bacterial small subunit ribosomal RNA", at positions 28 to 507 of the family's 1533-position model. The record is from RNAcentral.